GUGUCAGCAGCCGCGGUAAUACGUAGGUGGCGAGCGUUAUCCGGAUUUACUGGGCGUAAAGAGUGCGUAGGCGGUUCUUUAAGUCGGAUGUGAAAUCUCCCGGCUUAACCGGGAGGGGUCAUUCGAAACUGUUGGACUAGAGGACAGCAGGGGGAGGUGGAAUUCCCGGUGUAGUGGUGAAAUGCGUAGAUAUCGGGAGGAACACCAGUGGCGAAGGCGGCCUCCUGGGCUGUUUCUGACGCUGAGGCUCGAAAGUGUGGGGAGCGAACAGGAUUAGAUACCCUGGUAGUCCACACUGUAAACGAUGGACACUAGGUAUGGGGAGUAUCGACCCUCUCUGUGCCGAAGCUAACGCUUUAAGUGUCCCGCCUGGGGACUACGGCCGCAAGGCUAAAACUCAAAUGAAUUGACGGGG
RNAcentral lists this ribosomal RNA (415 nucleotides) under uncultured prokaryote. RNAcentral describes it as "bacterial SSU rRNA". It matches the Rfam family "Bacterial small subunit ribosomal RNA", at positions 505 to 918 of the family's 1533-position model. The record is from RNAcentral.